This 497-nucleotide ribosomal RNA is filed under the name uncultured bacterium. Its description in RNAcentral is "partial 16S ribosomal RNA". It matches the Rfam family "Bacterial small subunit ribosomal RNA", at positions 28 to 507 of the family's 1533-position model. The record is from RNAcentral.
GAUGAACGCUGGCGGCGUGCCUAAUACAUGCAAGUCGAGCGAACAGACGAGGAGCUUGCUCCUCUGACGUUAGCGGCGGGCGGGUGAGUAACACGUGGAUAACCUACCUAUAAGACUGGGAUAACUUCGGGAAACCGGAGCUAAUACCGGAUAAUAUAUUGAACCGCAUGGUUCAAUAGUGAAAGACGGUUUUGCUGUCACUUAUAGAUGGAUCCGCGCCUCAUUAGCUAGUUGGUAAGGUAACGGCUUACCAAGGCAACGAUGCGUAGCCGACCUGAGAGGGUGAUCGGCCACACUGGAACUGAGACACGGUCCAGACUCCUACGGGAGGCAGCAGUAGGGAAUCUUCCGCAAUGGGCGAAAGCCUGACGGAGCAACGCCGCGUGAGUGAUGAAGGUCUUCGGAUCGUAAAACUCUGUUAUUAGGGAAGAACAAAUGUGUAAGUAACUAUGCACGUCUUGACGGUACCUAAUCAGAAAGCCACGGCUAACUACGUG